RNAcentral lists this ribosomal RNA (440 nucleotides) under uncultured bacterium. Its description in RNAcentral is "partial 16S ribosomal RNA". It matches the Rfam family "Bacterial small subunit ribosomal RNA", at positions 338 to 795 of the family's 1533-position model. The record is from RNAcentral.
CCUACGGGAGGCAGCAGUGGGGGAUAUUGCACAAUGGGGGGAACCCUGAUGCAGCGACGCCGCGUGGGUGAAGGAGCGUUUCGGCGCGUAAAGCCCUAUCGGCAGGGAAGAAGAUGACGGUACCUGACCAAGAAGCCCCGGCUAACUACGUGCCAGCAGCCGCGGUAAUACGUAGGGGGCAAGCGUUAUCCGGAUUUACUGGGCGUAAAGCGCUCGUAGGCGGUAUGUCAAGUCAAGGGUGAAAUCCCCGCGCUCAACGUGGGAACUGCCUUUGAAACUGGCAAACUGGAGUGUGUGAGAGGAUAGUGGAAUUCCAGGUGUAGGAGUGAAAUCCGUAGAUAUCUGGAGGAACAUCAGUGGCGAAGGCGACUAUCUGGCACAUAACUGACGCUGAGGAGCGAAAGCGUGGGUAGCAAACAGGAUUAGAUACCCCAGUAGUC